CCUACGGGAGGCAGCAGUGGGGAAUAUUGCACAAUGGGCGAAAGCCUGAUGCAGCAACGCCGCGUGAAGGAAGACGGUUUUCGGAUUGUAAACUUCUGUUCUUAGGGAAGAAGAAUGACGGUAACUAAGGAGCAAGCCACGGCUAACUACGUGCCAGCAGCCGCGGUAAUACGUAGGUGGCAAGCGUUGUCCGGAAUUACUGGGUGUAAAGGGAGAGUAGGCGGCAAGGUAAGCGAUAUGUGAAAGCCUUAGGCUUUACCUGAGGAUUGCAUAACGAACUAUCUAGCUAGAGUACAGGAGCGGCAAGCGGAAUUCCUAGUGUAGCGGUGAAAUGCGUAGAUAUUAGGAAGAACACCAGUGGCGAAGGCGGCUUUCUGGACUGAAACUGACGCUGAGGCUCGAAAGCGUGGGGAGCGAACAGGAUUAGAUACCCCUGUAGUC
This 441-nucleotide ribosomal RNA is filed under the name uncultured bacterium. Its description in RNAcentral is "partial 16S ribosomal RNA". It matches the Rfam family "Bacterial small subunit ribosomal RNA", at positions 338 to 795 of the family's 1533-position model. The record is from RNAcentral.